GGAAGCAGCAGUGAGGAAUUUUUCACAAUGGACGAAAGUCUGAUGGAGCAAUACCACGUGAACGAUGAAGGUCUUCUGAUUGUAAAGUUCUUUUAUUUAGGAAAAAAAGCGCGCUAGGAAAUGAGCGCGCCUUGAUGGUACUAAUUGAAUAAGUGACAGCUAACUAUGUGCCAGCAGGUGCGGUAAAACAUAGGUCACAAGCAUUAUCCGGAUUUAUUGGGCGUAAAGGAAGCGUAGGCGGGGAGGCUGAUCCAUUGUUAAAGGCAUUUGCUCAACAAAUGUGUGCGAUGGAGAUCUCCUCCCUAGAGUUAAUCAGGGGGUACUGGAAUUCAAUGUGUAGCGGUGGAAUGCGUAGAUAUAUUGAGGAACACCAGAGGCUAAGGCGAGUACCUGGGAUAUAACUGACGCUG
Molecule: ribosomal RNA, 410 nt
Filed under: uncultured Mycoplasma sp.
Lineage: Bacteria; Bacillati; Mycoplasmatota; Mollicutes; Mycoplasmatales; Mycoplasmataceae
Description: bacterial SSU rRNA
Rfam family: Bacterial small subunit ribosomal RNA
Source: RNAcentral